Lolium rigidum is the source of this 1062-nucleotide long non-coding RNA. RefSeq lists it as uncharacterized. The transcript has 5 exons. The record is from RefSeq and is a predicted model, not a curated record. NCBI's taxonomy places the organism in Eukaryota, Viridiplantae, Streptophyta, Magnoliopsida, Poales, Poaceae.
UCUUGAUAUAUAGUUACUGAAGUUCAGUUUUAUGAAUUUAUGAAUGUAUACGAGAAAUUAGGUUUCCUAUCUUUUUCUACUUUACUCGCUUCGAUGACUGGUUUACCUGCUAGAGCAGCAUCCCAUUGUUCAGUAGAAGGUAAAGUAAGGAAGACAUUGGUCAGGUUCUUAAUUCGUUCAUACAUACUCUCUGAUUUGAACUAGCACAUAACAAUGUUGCUUAUUGUCUACAGCUAAUGCCAUGUCUCUCUACAAUGCAAUAUACUAAUAACUUUUAUCCCAAAAUUUCCAGCGCCAGUUGGCCGCGCUGCAAGGUACGCUGAAGAUAUCUGAAGGAUUGAUUGGCACUGUCAGUGUCUAGGUUGGUGUUGGCAUGUGCAUGGAGGGAAUAAUAGAGCAUAUAAUCCACUUGUUUAUUAUCUAAUAGCAUUCCGUGGUCAAAAGGUUAAAGCUGAGGUACUUGGUAAAUGGAACACAGUUAACCAAGACAGCAGGCUUGCUCCAUUGGCAAAAAUGGUUAUGUGGCUAGAAAAGCGAUGCAGGACAGCUGGCGCUGGCAGGCGGCGGCGCGGAGAGUGGUGGCGGGAGCGGAGGCGAUGCGGCGAGCGCUGACGAAGGCUGGCACACCCACGUUUCCCUCUCCUCUUCCUCUCUGCUCAGACCGUGGCCCUCGACGCCUGCAUCUGGGCUGCUAGCAGCAGGUCUGGUUGGGGAAGCACAAGGAGAGAAACAACCAGAGGUUGCCGCUGUUAUUCCUGUAAUUUCUGCCCCUCUCUGUCCAGUUUGUCACUAGGAAUACCCUUGGAUAAUCAGGGUGUUGCAUUUUGACUCAUAUAUAGUUACAUUGUCAGCAACCAGCAUGAUAUAUUUAUUGCCACAUUUGUUGUGAUGCAUCGGCAAAUUUUGUUACCAUGAAGCCUUAUCUAUUUGCAGCACACAGCUUACACCUUGGAUGCCUUGAUACAUUGGAGAAUUGUGUUACCAUGAGACCCUUCUCUAUUUUUCCAUUCAAUUUUUUAUCCUUCUUGACUUAUCUCGUUCGUUUAGCGCAGGUAGACGGUU